This is a long non-coding RNA of Rhagoletis pomonella (apple maggot), 620 nucleotides long. RefSeq lists it as uncharacterized. NCBI's taxonomy places the organism in Eukaryota, Metazoa, Arthropoda, Insecta, Diptera, Tephritidae. The transcript is spliced from 3 exons. The record is from RefSeq and is a predicted model, not a curated record.
AUGUAUUGUGUACUUGAGUGCCGUUUUUGUCAAUGUAUUGUGGACAUGUUUAUUUAUAAACGUAUGUGUUUCUUUUCUGUCGUGUUUAUUGACAUAUCUGUACUGUAGUGUUUUCGGACGAUACAAUAGCAAAACAUUCACAUUUGAUUUACAAAGAUAUUUCCAAUUCUCUUGAUGUUUUCAUCACUGUCUCUGGCAUUUCGAAGACAGUUUAUUGUCUGGAUGCCUACUUUACUCAAACGAUAUAACGUGCAUAUCCUCAUUGGUCUUGCCUUGUGCAAACGCGGGGUUAUACAACUGUCAGCAGUGACGGAAGGACUUUCUGGCUGUUUCACAGAAAAAUGCGUAGAAAAAGCAUAUUUGAUAUAAAAAGGAUUUUUACAAGCUUCCUUGUAUUCCAAAGCAACUUUAAAUGUGAGCGCACAUUCAAUCAAUAUUCAAAUACAAAGGACAUAAUGCAACAAAGAAUUCAUAUACCUACUUUUCAUUGAAUACUGCUGUAGAAACAGUCAGCGACUUCUUUACACAGACAUUUGAUAUUCCUCACGCCUAAUUUGCUUGAGCAGUGUUUUAGAGCGAGGAUCGUUCUGAUGCAGCAGUGUUUGUAGGUGCGCUCGAAG